UUUCCGUAGGUGAACCUGCGGAAGGAUCAUUAUUGUAUAACCGAGGUGCGAGGGCUGUCGCUCACCCGCAUGGUCGUGCACGCACGAGUGUCCUCACACACAUCCAUCUCACCCCUAUGUGCACCACCGCGUGGGUCCCCCUUUGGCUUGUUCGGAGGGGGGCUUACGUUUUCACACAAACUUUGUAUGCAGUGUAGAAUGUAUUUUUUGUUUUUGCGAUCACGCAAUCAAUACAACUUUCAACAACGGAUCUCUUGGCUCUC
This 263-nucleotide unclassified non-coding RNA is filed under the name plant metagenome. RNAcentral describes it as "partial contains small subunit ribosomal RNA, internal transcribed spacer 1, and 5.8S ribosomal RNA". The record is from RNAcentral.